GGCUCUGCGGCGCAAUGGAUAGCCCAUUGGACUUCUAAUUCAAAGGUUGUGGGUUCGAAUCCCAUCAGAGUCA
RNAcentral lists this transfer RNA (73 nucleotides) under Xenopus tropicalis (tropical clawed frog). RNAcentral describes it as "tRNA-Arg (TCT) (tRNA-Arg-TCT-51-1, tRNA-Arg-TCT-51-2)". It matches the Rfam family "tRNA". Rfam says of the family: Transfer RNA (tRNA) molecules are approximately 80 nucleotides in length. The record is from RNAcentral. Lineage: Eukaryota; Metazoa; Chordata; Amphibia; Anura; Pipidae.